Molecule: ribosomal RNA, 480 nt
Filed under: uncultured bacterium
Lineage: Bacteria
Description: partial 16S ribosomal RNA
Rfam family: Bacterial small subunit ribosomal RNA
Source: RNAcentral
AUGCACGCUGGCGGCGUGCUUAACACAUGCCAGUCGAACGAAGCACUUUAUUUGAUUUCCUUCGGGACUGAUUAUUUUGUGACUGAGUGGCGGACGGGUGAGUAACGCGUGGGUAACCUGCCUUGUACAGGGGGAUAACAGUUGGAAACGGCUGCUAAUACCGCAUAAGCGCACGGCAUCGCAUGAUGCAGUGUGAAAAACUCCGGUGGUAUAAGAUGGACCCGCGUUGGAUUAGCUAGUUGGUGAGGUAACGGCCCACCAAGGCGACGAUCCAUAGCCGACCUGAGAGGGUGACCGGCCACAUUGGGACUGAGACACGGCCCAAACUCCUACGGGAGGCAGCAGUGGGGAAUAUUGCACAAUGGGCGAAAGCCUGAUGCAGCGACGCCGCGUGAGCGAAGAAGUAUUUCGGUAUGUAAAGCUCUAUCAGCAGGGAAGAUAAUGACGGUACCUGACGAAGAAGCACCGGCUAAAUACGUG